GUCAGGUGCAGUGGCGCCUGCCUGUAGUCCCAGCUACUUGGAGGCUGAGGCUGGAGGAUCGCUUGAGUCCAGGAGUUCUGGGCUGUAGUGCACUAUGCCGAUCGGGUGUCUGCACUAAGUUCGUCAUCAAUAUGGUGACCUUCCGGGAGCAGGGGACCACCAGGUUGCCUAAGGAGGGGUGAACCAGCCCAGGUCGGAAACGGAGCAGGUCAAAACUCCCGUGCUGAUCAGUAGUGGGAUCGCGCCUGUGAAUAGCCACUGCACUCCAGCCUGGGCAACAUAGCGAGACCCCGUCUCU
RNAcentral lists this signal recognition particle RNA (298 nucleotides) under Saimiri boliviensis boliviensis (Bolivian squirrel monkey). Its description in RNAcentral is "Metazoan signal recognition particle RNA (ENSSBOG00000001670.1)". It matches the Rfam family "Metazoan signal recognition particle RNA". Rfam says of the family: The signal recognition particle (SRP) is a universally conserved ribonucleoprotein. Lineage: Eukaryota; Metazoa; Chordata; Mammalia; Primates; Cebidae. The record is from RNAcentral.